RNAcentral lists this long non-coding RNA (278 nucleotides) under Carica papaya (papaya). RNAcentral describes it as "long non-coding RNA (CPAP_LNC006246)". The record is from RNAcentral. Lineage: Eukaryota; Viridiplantae; Streptophyta; Magnoliopsida; Brassicales; Caricaceae.
GGCCCCUCCUCAGGCUCCAGGGGCAGCACGUGGAAAGAUCUGCCAGCACUGUGGCAGGGAUCACGGGGACCGACCAUGCUACCGCCUCAACAACACCUGUCGCAUAUGUGGUAGUGCCCAGCACUAUGCGAAAGAGUGCCCGAGGAACCAGAACCAAGGAAGACCUCCUUUUCAGGGCAAGGUUUACAACCUUACCCAGCAGGAUGUCGACGCCGACUCGGACGUGGUACAAGAUAUGUACACUAUCUGUGACCAUAUUGCUCAUGUUUUAUUUGAUA